RNAcentral lists this ribosomal RNA (489 nucleotides) under uncultured bacterium. RNAcentral's name for it is "partial 16S ribosomal RNA". It matches the Rfam family "Bacterial small subunit ribosomal RNA", at positions 28 to 507 of the family's 1533-position model. The record is from RNAcentral.
GACGAACGCUGGCGGCGUGCUUAACACAUGCAAGUCGAACGGAAAGGCCCCCACCUUGGUGGGGGUGCUCGAGUGGCGAACGGGUGAGUAACACGUGGGUGAUCUGCCCUGUACUUCGGGAUAAGCUUGGGAAACUGGGUCUAAUACCGGAUAGGACCAUGGUUUAGUGUCUCAUGGUGGAAAAAUUAUUGUUUUGGUGCAGGAUGAGCUCGCGGCCUAUCAGCUUGUUGGUGGGGUAAUGGCCUACCAAGGCGUCGACGGGUAGCCGGCCUGAGAGGGUGGACGGCCACAUUGGGAGUGAGAUACGGCCCAGACUCCUACGGGAGGCAGCAGUGGGGAAUAUUGCACAAUGGGCGCAAGCCUGAUGCAGCGACGCCGCGUGGGGGAUGACGGCCUUCGGGUUGUAAACUCCUUUCGUUAGGGACGAAGCCACACCUUUUUUGGGUGUGGUGACGGUACCUUUGUUAAGAAGCACCGGCUAACUACGUG